RNAcentral lists this ribosomal RNA (468 nucleotides) under uncultured bacterium. RNAcentral describes it as "partial 16S ribosomal RNA". It matches the Rfam family "Bacterial small subunit ribosomal RNA", at positions 28 to 507 of the family's 1533-position model. The record is from RNAcentral.
GACGAACGCUGGCGGCGUGCUUAACACAUGCAAGUCGAACGGAAAGGCCCUGCUUUUGUGGGGUGCUCGAGUGGCGAACGGGUGAGUAACACGUGAGUAACCUGCCCUUGACUUUGGGAUAACUUCAGGAAACUGGUGCUAAUACCGGAUAGGAGCUCCUGCUGCAUGGUGGGGGUUGGAAAGUUUCGGCGGUUGGGGAUGGACUCGCGGCUUAUCAGCUUGUUGGUGGGGUAGUGGCUUACCAAGGCUUUGACGGGUAGCCGGCCUGAGAGGGUGACCGGCCACAUUGGGACUGAGGUACGGCCCAGACUCCUACGGGAGGCAGCAGUGGGGAAUAUUGCACAAUGGACGGAAGCGUGAUGCAGCAACGCCGCGUGCGGGAUGACGGCCUUCGGGUUGUAAACCGCUUUCGCCUGUGACGAAGCGUGAGUGACGGUAAUGGGUAAAGAAGCCCCGGCUAACUACGUG